AAGCACGACAGGUUUUUUAGAAUUUGUCUAGCAGGUUUUCCCAUUUGUACCAGAAACCCCCC
Molecule: small nuclear RNA, 62 nt
Organism: Callithrix jacchus (white-tufted-ear marmoset)
Lineage: Eukaryota; Metazoa; Chordata; Mammalia; Primates; Cebidae
Gene: U7
Rfam family: U7 small nuclear RNA
About the family: Animal histone pre-mRNAs are spliced by a different mechanism than nuclear pre-mRNAs and self-splicing introns. This processing involves the U7 snRNP, which contains only one RNA species: U7.
Source: Ensembl